CUGCCCGUAGCUCAACUGGAUAGAGCAACCCCCUUCUAAGGGGUAGGUUGGGGGUUCGAUCCCCUCCGGGCAGACCA
This 77-nucleotide transfer RNA is filed under the name Aquabacterium sp. RNAcentral describes it as "tRNA-Arg". It matches the Rfam family "tRNA". From Rfam's summary of the family: Transfer RNA (tRNA) molecules are approximately 80 nucleotides in length. The record is from RNAcentral. Lineage: Bacteria; Pseudomonadati; Pseudomonadota; Betaproteobacteria; Burkholderiales; Sphaerotilaceae.